UCUAAAACUCUACAUAUUCUUGCUCAUUAGGAAUUCUAAGCUGUGACGAAAAGCCAGGUUGUUUGAAUCAAGCUUUUAAAACCACAUGUCGUCUGUUCUACAAAGACAGCACCACAGCCACCCACACCAGCUUAAGCUUAAACGUCCAUCGGCACCUUAUUUCUGUAGUGGAUGUAAACAGAUAGGCUUUGACAUAUGCUACCAGUGUGAAACUUGCAAUAACUUUUCCAUCCAUGAUGAAUGUGCAUUUCCCACCGCUCCAACUUACCACCAUUUCUUCAAGGACUGCAGGUUCGAGUUUCAUGAGCAAUCUCCAAUAACACCCGAUAAAGGCAGAGAUUGUGAUGUAUGUGGGAUGGAUAUAAAAGGGUAUGUGUAUCAAUGCUCCUGUAACAAAUAUGACAUGCACCCUCACUGUACUAAGCUCCCAGAAACCUUAACCGGUGAAGGUGUGAAGCUGCAACUGAAGAAAAAGGCCGCACUUAAUUGCCAAAAAUGCAAAUUCAAGGUUAGUUCAAGAAAAGGGCCCAAAGGGUGGUGUUAUGUUUCUACUUGUGGGAACUACUGUCUUCAUGUAGCUUGUGUGAAGCAGAUGGUUUAUGAGGCCUGGAAAAAUAGCUACUUCAAUCAACAAAAUGAUGCAACAGACAGAAACGAUUUGGCAGUGCUGCCUAGUACUGCUAGUCCAAGCACCAGCACAGACAUAGUAGAAAAGAGGGGAAAGAGCUCAAGUGGAUGGAAAAUUGCUAUAGCAGUUCUCAAGCUCAUCCUUUCGGCCAUUUUUGGAGAUCCAAUUACUGGGUUUACUGCUCUUAUAGCUACUUUUGCUCAAAUUCUUUAUCCAAAUUGAUAUUAUUUGAGCAUCUCACAUCAUGCGAGUUACGGUUGUUCCAACAUUUAGGGCAGAUAUUUUUUCCUAUGCAACUGUUGAUGUCUAUCGGUUUAGGUUAAUUCCUGGUUUUUUUCUGCUUUGUUGGGGUUUGUUCUGUUGGCUUUCAGCUUUGGUCGUAUUCUGCUGGUUUUAAUCUUUUUGGGUUUGAUGCUGUUUAGGUAUAUGCAUUCUUAUAUAUUCUGGCCCAUGUCUGUCAGUAAAGGUUUUCUCAUGCAAUUAUUUUAAUAAUUUCAGUUUCUUUGUUAUCCG
RNAcentral lists this unclassified non-coding RNA (1141 nucleotides) under Hevea brasiliensis (rubber tree). The record is from RNAcentral. Lineage: Eukaryota; Viridiplantae; Streptophyta; Magnoliopsida; Malpighiales; Euphorbiaceae.